AUUGAACGCUGGCGGCAGGCUUAACACAUGCAAGUCGAGCGGGGUGAUGGUGCUUGCACUAUCACUUAGCGGCGGACGGGUGAGUAAUGCUUAGGAAUCUGCCUAUUAGUGGGGGACAACAUCUCGAAAGGGAUGCUAAUACCGCAUACGUCCUACGGGAGAAAGCAGGGGAUCACUUGUGACCUUGCGCUAAUAGAUGAGCCUAAGUCGGAUUAGCUAGUUGGUGGGGUAAAGGCCUACCACGGCGACGAUCUGUAGCGGGUCUGAGAGGAUGAUCAACCAAACUGGGACUGAGACACGGCCCAGACUCCUACGGGAGGCAGCAGUGGGGAAUAUUGGACAAUGGGGGGAACCCUGAUCCAGCCAUGCCGCGUGUGUGAAGAAGGCCUUAUGGUUGUAAAGCACUUUAAGCGAGGAGGAGGCUCUUUUGGUUAAUACCCAAGAUGAGUGGACGUUACUCGCAGAAUAAGCACCGGCUAACUCUGUGCCAGCCGCCGCAGUAA
RNAcentral lists this ribosomal RNA (503 nucleotides) under uncultured bacterium. RNAcentral describes it as "partial 16S ribosomal RNA". It matches the Rfam family "Bacterial small subunit ribosomal RNA", at positions 30 to 523 of the family's 1533-position model. The record is from RNAcentral.